Callithrix jacchus (white-tufted-ear marmoset) is the source of this 659-nucleotide long non-coding RNA. RefSeq lists it as uncharacterized. The record is from RefSeq and is a predicted model, not a curated record. Lineage: Eukaryota; Metazoa; Chordata; Mammalia; Primates; Cebidae.
CAACGUCGUCUGUCAGCUCAUGAACCCACCCGCCGCUUCUUGUCCAUCACCUCCUCCAGGAGACAUCCUCACCAGACUGCUUCCCCUGCCCUCCAAAUUCACCUGUCUACUCCCUUCAAAGCACCAGACAAUGGGGUCUGGCUCUGUUGCCCAGGCUGGAGUGCAGUUACACCAUCACAGCUCACUGCAGCCUUGACCUCCCGGGCUCACGUGAUCCUCCUGCCUCAGCCUCCCGAAUAGCUGGGACUGCAGAAAGAAGGCUGCCGUCUGCAAGUCAGGGAGAGAGCCCUCACCAGAACCCAACCAUGCCGGCCUCUGAUCUCAGACUUUCAGCCUCCAGAACUGUGAGAAAACAUCUGUUGCUAAAGCCCUCCAGUCUGGUAUUUUAUAAUAGCAACCAGGGCAGACUGAGACACUCACUGAUCAAACGAGAAGGCAGAUGCAUGAUUUUAUGUACAGUACUACUUUCUUUCUUCACAUCAGACAGGUCGUGCCGACUCGUAACCAGGUUUGUGGAGGCACAUCUUACACAUGAGCGUGAAACCCCAAUUAUCACACUUAUAAAUGAAAAGAACCUCUACAGUACUACUCUUGUCUUAUGUAUAAUGUAUGGAUAUACAUGUGAAAAAGCCUUGAAAUAUAUUAAAAUGCUAACCAUA